UCGGGAAUUUUGGGCAAUGGGGGAAACCCUGACCCAGCAACGCCGCGUGAAGGAUGAAGUAUUUCGGUAUGUAAACUUCGAAAGAAUAGGAAGAAUAAAUGACGGUACUAUUUAUAAGGUCCGGCUAACUACGUGCCAGCAGCCGCGGUAAUACGUAGGGACCAAGCGUUGUUCGGAUUUACUGGGCGUAAAGGGCGCGUAGGCGGCACGACAAGUCACUUGUGAAAUCUCUGGGCUUAACCCAGAACGGCCAAGUGAUACUGUCGCGCUAGAGUGCAGAAGGGGCAAUCGGAAUUCUUGGUGUAGCGGUGAAAUGCGUAGAUAUCAAGAGGAACACCUGAGGUGAAGACGGGUUGCUGGGCUGACACUGACGCUGAGGCGCGAAAGCCAGGGGAGCAAACGGGAUUAGAUACCCACGUAGUCCCUGAGCGGGCUGGCAAGGCGCAU
This 447-nucleotide ribosomal RNA is filed under the name uncultured bacterium. RNAcentral describes it as "bacterial SSU rRNA". It matches the Rfam family "Bacterial small subunit ribosomal RNA", at positions 355 to 825 of the family's 1533-position model. The record is from RNAcentral.